Molecule: long non-coding RNA, 690 nt
Organism: Zingiber officinale
Lineage: Eukaryota; Viridiplantae; Streptophyta; Magnoliopsida; Zingiberales; Zingiberaceae
Exons: 2
Source: RefSeq, a predicted model, not a curated record
CAUCAUUUAUCUCCAUUCUCUUAGAAAAUUACAUGGGCCUAAUAACUUUUCUUUUUUGUUAAAAUUUGUUUGAAAGCGGAGAGUUCUCAAAUAAAUCUAAUAACUUUGAGUGAUUGGUAAGGAUGUUGGAUAUGUAUCUGUGAGAAAAAAGAGUUCUUUAAUGAAUCCAAACUAACGUGUUGCUUAAGUAUUUUUACCUUAAUCUUUUUGAUCUUUCAUCGAUCUAUGUUUGUUUUCUUUGAUACACUGGUUUGUUCUGCCUUGGUGCAACUUAUAGAAGUUCGACCAUCAUUCCUAGAGUGCCUUUUCAGAUAUUUUAAAGGUGAAUGGAGGUAUUCAAAAACUCCAGCUAAAUAGCUUGGGUAUGGAUGAUUACAGGAGCAACAACUACAUACUAUGUGGCACUGCAUCCGAACCUCAUGGGUGUGACUGGGAAGUACUUCGACGAAGAACUAUCAAGAAGGCUUUGAGAUUUAAGUGAGAAUAUGGUUAAAGUCAAUGAGUAAAGAACAUUCAAGUCAAGAGGAUAAGUAGCAUCUAUAAAGAUCCUUUAAGUUCAUGCAAUAAGAUGUAGACGAUAGAAGUAGUUUUCAGUGUCUCCUAAUUAAAAUUUCUUUGUAUGCAAGUAAUUAUGCUUGUUAUAAAGUGUAUGGAUGAUAAUUUAUAUAUUUAUCUUGGUUGUUUAUUUAA